AUGGAAAAAUUGAAAGAAUCCUUCAAUCAAGAGCGUGUUGUAUGGGAAACCGAAAAAGCCGGUUUGACCAAAAGAGCCGUAGAUGCCGAGGACGCCCUGAAACCGGUGGCUGAAGAACUAGCCAGUUUGAAGCGCCAAAUCAACGCUAUGACCUCUGCUAUCUUUGGAACUCGGAUCACUCAUCUUGGUGCAGAUAUGCGGAUGAAGCUCAAAGCGGCAUACACAUUGGUUGAGCAGCUAUACUCUAGAUCUCAGCGAGCCAUUAGUACAGCAGCCUAUAACAAACCGGUGCCAACGUGGAUUAAGGAAACCCUUGAGAAGCUGGGCAUGUUACCGGCGCGUAUUGCCGAGUUGAAGAGAGCCGCUGCAAGAGCCGGAGCAUUAACUGCCCUUAUUCGAGCCAAGGCCUGGAUUCCAGAUCUUGAAGCGGAGGAUAUCAUUAAAGGGUAUCCAGACGUUAAAGAAGACAGUUCAAACUUUGACAAUGAUGAUCUUCGGCGGUUGACCAAACAGAUGCGGCCAGCGGCCAGCAAAUUAGCUGAAGACACUGAUUUGUCCCAUUUUCAACCAUUUUAUGAUGCAGAAGGGAAAAGACAGCCGGCCGAGAUCCAUGAAGUCGAAGAACUUGUGCCUCCGAUUCGUAAGCACACUUAUGCCCCUGAUAUUAACCCUUCUAAUCUUAUCCAUGAAGAAGCAGUAUUCCGAGCCUUAACCGGAAUCAAUUGGUCAACGGCUGAUUUCCAGCAGCUGGGGAGGGAUGAAGAAGUGCGUGCACUAACUGAUCCGCAACCGUCAAACCGUCAUGAGGAAGAGUCUUGA
Molecule: ribosomal RNA, 819 nt
Filed under: Triticum aestivum (bread wheat)
Lineage: Eukaryota; Viridiplantae; Streptophyta; Magnoliopsida; Poales; Poaceae
Description: partial small subunit ribosomal RNA
Source: RNAcentral